Molecule: ribosomal RNA, 774 nt
Filed under: uncultured Neocallimastigales
Lineage: Eukaryota; Fungi; Neocallimastigomycota; Neocallimastigomycetes; Neocallimastigales
Description: partial large subunit ribosomal RNA
Rfam family: Eukaryotic large subunit ribosomal RNA
Source: RNAcentral
AGAGAUGUGUGAUGACGCAUAUCAAUAAGCGGAGGAAAAGAAACUAACAAGGAUUCCCUUAGUAACGGCGAGUGAAGCGGGAAGAGCUCAAAUUUGAAAUCUUCAAGGUUCUACCUUGACGAAUUGUAGUUUAUAGAAGUGUUUUCUGUUAGUGGAGUGGCAAAAGUUCUUUGGAAUAGGACAUCAUAGAGGGUGAGAAUCCCGUAUUUGGUCAUUCCUCCUAGCGUUGUGAUACACUUUCAACGAGUCGGAUUGUUUGGGAAUGCAGUCCAAAAUGGGUGGUAAAUUUCAUCUAAAGCUAAAUAUUGGCGAGAGACCGAUAGCGAACAAGUACCGUGAGGGAAAGAUGAAAAGAACUUUGAAAAGAGAGUUAAACAGUACGUGAAAUUGUCAAAAGGGAAGCGUUUGACACCAGUGUUGUUUUUCCGAAAAUCAAUUACGAAUGUUUUAUUUUUGAGGAGUUAUGACUUCAUCGGCUUGCUUCUCUCUUUAUGAAACUUUCUUAAUGCACUUUUCGGUUAACAAGUCAACAUCAAUUUCUUUUGUUGUAAAAGAGUAUGAGGAAGGUGGCUUUCUUUUCGGAGAAAGUGUUUAUAGCCUUGUACCUCUGCAAUCGGAGAGAUUGAGGUCUGCAGCGUAGAUCCUUCGGGGUUAGAUACAUUUGUGCUAAGUUAUAGCUUUUCAUAGACAACUUGUUGACUAUGUUUAGUCUUGUAGCUUACUCGCUUAUGCUAUUUUACCUACGCUUAGGAUGUUGAUAGUCACAGCGUGUAC